This 72-nucleotide transfer RNA is filed under the name Schistocerca americana (American grasshopper). RNAcentral describes it as "tRNA-Pro". It matches the Rfam family "tRNA". From Rfam's summary of the family: Transfer RNA (tRNA) molecules are approximately 80 nucleotides in length. Lineage: Eukaryota; Metazoa; Arthropoda; Insecta; Orthoptera; Acrididae. The record is from RNAcentral.
GGCUCGUUGGUCUAGGGGUACGAUUCCUGCUUAGGUUGCAGGAGGUCCCGGGUUCAAAUCCCGGACGAGCCC